This 933-nucleotide long non-coding RNA is filed under the name Rattus norvegicus (Norway rat). RNAcentral's name for it is "long non-coding RNA NONRATT014551". Lineage: Eukaryota; Metazoa; Chordata; Mammalia; Rodentia; Muridae. The record is from RNAcentral.
UGUUAAAGUGCUGACACCUGGGCCGGGAGCACAACUGGAGGAAUGCUUGCCUAAUGCAAGGGCCUGGCUCCAUUCCCCAGUGUGUUUGGGAGUAUAUACAACUGAGUUCUCUCAAAACUAGAGCACGGAGCUCGGAAAGCCGGGACUUAAGCAAAUCUCCCAAAGACAUCACAACCCCUCUCCAUUGUUCUGGAAAUUGCAUUUUCCUUUGGGAGUGGAGGUGGCCUUUCAUACCAGAAGUCCUCUGGCUAGAGUUGAUGCAGAUGGAAUCUGUUUAGCUGACUUACACAGGGUUUAAAAAAAAAAAAAUCUAGGAGAGCAUUUCAAAUCUGGUAGGCAGUACUCAGUAGACUAAGGCAGGAGCCUCACCAACCAGAACAUAACGUAAUGAGACACUGUUUGAAAGAAGAAAAAAAUGGCCAAAUCAACCAGUUAACCAAACCAACCAACGAAAACCAAAGUCCUAGAGGAAAAGGGGUGUGUGUGUGUGUGUGUGUGUGUGUGGUUUUUGCUACUCUAAAGAGCCAUACAUUGCCUGCUUCUGUCUCUCAAUUCUUCACAGCCCUCAGAGCACCAGUAAAGUGCAUUCCCAAUCAGCCUCGUAUACUGUAUCUCUGGGCCCUGAGUUCAGCUUUUGGCCGUUGUGGGCUGCACACCCUGUCCUCCUGUCCUGGGUCUUUGUGCAGUGUCACCUGUAGAGCAAGUAGCUUUGAAAGUCAUCCGCCUUUCUGAGCAGGUAACGGAGCUGGUCAGUGAUCGGACUGAACAUGGAGUCCAGCGGGAGGCGAGCUGGGGCCGCCCCGAGCUCCGCUGCCAGUGGCUCCCGGGAGGACGUGGAGGUGGGAGCUUCCAUCAUGGACUGUGCUCGCUGGGGCUCCAGCUCUGUUGAACCCUCAGGUCUCCCGGCCGGCGACCACGAGGGGUCUCCAUAAG